Molecule: ribosomal RNA, 395 nt
Filed under: uncultured bacterium
Lineage: Bacteria
Description: bacterial SSU rRNA
Rfam family: Bacterial small subunit ribosomal RNA
Source: RNAcentral
AACGAACGCUGGCGGCAUGCCUAACACAUGCAAGUCGAACGAGACCUUCGGGUCUAGUGGCGCACGGGUGCGUAACACGUGGGAAUCUGCCCUUGGGUUCGGAAUAACAGUUGGAAACGACUGCUAAUACCGGAUGAUGACGUAAGUCCAAAGAUUUAUCGCCCAAGGAUGAGCCCGCGUCGGAUUAGCUAGUUGGUGGGGUAAAGGCCUACCAAGGCGACGAUCCGUAGCUGGCUGAGAGGAUGAUCAGCCACACUGGACUGAGACACGGCCCAGACUCCUACGGGAGGCAGCAGUGGGGAAUAUUGGACAAUGGGCGAAAGCCUGAUCCAGCAAUGUCGCGUGAGUGAUGAAGGCCUUAGGGUUGUAAAGCUCUUUUACCCGGGAUGAUAAUG